RNAcentral lists this ribosomal RNA (374 nucleotides) under uncultured bacterium. RNAcentral describes it as "bacterial SSU rRNA". It matches the Rfam family "Bacterial small subunit ribosomal RNA", at positions 524 to 898 of the family's 1533-position model. The record is from RNAcentral.
UACGUAGGGUGCGAGCGUUAAUCGGAAUUACUGGGCGUAAAGCGUGCGCAGGCGGCUUUGUAAGACGGAUGUGAAAGCCCCGGGCUCAACCUGGGAAGUGCAUUCGUGACUGCAAGGCUAGAGUGCGUCAGAGGGAGGUGGAAUUCCGCGUGUAGCAGUGAAAUGCGUAGAGAUGCGGAGGAACACCGAUGGCGAAGGCAGCCUCCUGGGAUGACACUGACGCUCAUGCACGAAAGCGUGGGGAGCAAACAGGAUUAGAUACCCUGGUAGUCCACGCCCUAAACGAUGUCAACUAGUUGUCGGGGAUUCGUUUCCUUGGUAACGCAGCUAACGCGUGAAGUUGACCGCCUGGGGAGUACGGCCGCAAGGUUAAA